RNAcentral lists this long non-coding RNA (801 nucleotides) under Helianthus annuus (common sunflower). RNAcentral's name for it is "hypothetical non coding rna". Lineage: Eukaryota; Viridiplantae; Streptophyta; Magnoliopsida; Asterales; Asteraceae. The record is from RNAcentral.
AUGACACUGAAUUUGACCUGUGAGGCUGUGAUACAGUUAAGUUAUGUCAUGUGCACUGCACAUGAGGGUAGAAUGGUCAUUUCACCUCCCCACUUGUCUUUCCCCCUUUUAAUACCCUAGUUUACUUCAUCUUCAACCUUCAUACUCAUCUGAACCAUCAUCUCCUUCAUCUUCAGUUUGGAUCAAUUACUCAAGAACAAAAAGCAUAAUCUUGAUGAACAACAUUAAGGUACUCGUAGUUGUUUUAUUGUAUUUAUAUUUUAUUUAUGUCUCAGAUCUGGUCAUCCAGAGAUUUUUAACCUGUCAAAGUCCUUUCCGGUCAUGAAGUUAAAGUUACAUCUGUUGAUGUAGCUGCAGGUUAAUCCUUGUUUUCUUGUAAGAGCUUAAACGGGUACUUGGGUAGAAUGGGUUGAAAUGAUUUAAUGCAUAAAAUAUUCCAAAAUCGUAUUAUUUGGUGAGUAAUAAAAUUUUGUAAUCAUGUUAAACACUAUUUGUUUGUGGAAAAAUCUGAAAAUAUUUUAUAACCUCUGUUUUGGGUUUGCCCGCCCGAUCCACACCUGAACAGUUGACCCGGCUGUUUUGCUAUCUCUAGAAUUGAGUGGUUUGGUGUUAUCGGUUUUGCAGAUGGGCAAAGUAUUGCGAGUUUGCGACUGUUUCUCAUGACAGGACAAUAAACUAUGGUCUAGCAAAAAUGCUGAAAAGGAUAAGGCAAUGGAUGUUGAUUGAAUCUCUUUAGGCAAAUUGUAUACGAGGUAAAGUCUGUGAAGAUGAAGGGGAUGAUGUUCAUAUGAAUAUGAAAGU